GCAAUUCUUUAUUUUUGCGUGCAAGGUUAGUUACAAUACUACCCGUAUGGCCACAACAGCCUUCCAGGUUUUCAAAUGUUUCAUGACAUCACAACAUAGUUUAGGCAUAUAUGGCAGUCUGUCGAUUCUAAUCUGUGGUGUCAGCUAGUUCUGCACAUUUUAAUAUAGUUUAUGGGUCAGUUGGUGUCAAACUGAGGCAACAUUGGAGUAAGUUUGAGGAGUGUGUCUUUUUCCCCUCCAGUGCCAGGAUUGUAGUAGUGUGGGGGGGUAAAGAACUCAAGGGUUGUCUGUUUGGAGUUGGCUGGUUGCGUGUUUGUGCCCCCUUAUAUGUUCCCUGUUGGGGUUGAUUGCGUGUGUGAAUGGUUGUCCUCAGUGACGUUUGUGUCCACAGGUGAGUACUGUGGAGUCCGCAUGUGUCAGCGUGUGUACGUUUGCGUGUAGGUAUAUGUGUGUAUAGGGGUUGUCGCUCAUUGAGCCUAUUUGUGCCUCUGCGAUCGUCCAGUGGGUUGGGAAUUGACUCCUUACCGAGGAGG
This is a non-coding RNA of Pelobates cultripes (western spadefoot toad), 533 nucleotides long. Lineage: Eukaryota; Metazoa; Chordata; Amphibia; Anura; Pelobatidae. The record is from the annotation of a GenBank genome assembly.